This 443-nucleotide ribosomal RNA is filed under the name uncultured Methanosaeta sp. RNAcentral describes it as "bacterial SSU rRNA". It matches the Rfam family "Archaeal small subunit ribosomal RNA", at positions 897 to 1338 of the family's 1478-position model. Lineage: Archaea; Methanobacteriati; Methanobacteriota; Methanomicrobia; Methanotrichales; Methanotrichaceae. The record is from RNAcentral.
GCGGUUUUAAUUGGAUUCAACGCCGGAAAUCUUACCGGGACCGACAGCAAUAUGAAGGCCAGGCUGAAGACUUUGCCGGAUUAGCUGAGAGGUGGUGCAUGGCCGUCGUCAGUUCGUACUGUGAAGCAUCCUGUUAAGUCAGGCAACGAGCGAGACCCACGCCCACAGUUGCCAGCGUACUCUCCGGAGUGACGGGUACACUGUGGGGACCGCCGCUGCUAAAGCGGAGGAAGGAAUGGGCAACGGUAGGUCAGUAUGCCCCGAAUAUCCCGGGCUACACGCGAGCUACAAUGGUUGGUACAAUGGGUAUCUACCCCGAAAGGGGACGGGAAUCUCCUAAAACCAAUCUUAGUUCGGAUUGAGGGCUGCAACUCGCCCUCAUGAAGCUGGAAUCCGUAGUAAUCGCGUUUCAACAGAACGCGGUGAAUACGUCCCUGCUCCUU